This 238-nucleotide ribosomal RNA is filed under the name uncultured bacterium. RNAcentral describes it as "partial 16S ribosomal RNA". It matches the Rfam family "Bacterial small subunit ribosomal RNA", at positions 15 to 235 of the family's 1533-position model. The record is from RNAcentral.
GAUCAUGGCUCAGGAUGAACGCUGGCGGCGUGCUUAACACAUGCAAGUCGAGCGAAGCACUUAAGUUUGAUUCUUCGGAUGAAGACUUUUGUGACUGAGCGGCGGACGGGUGAGUAACGCGUGGGUAACCUGCCUCAUACAGGGGGAUAACGGUUAGAAAUGACUGCUAAUACCGCAUAAGCGCACAGUACCGCAUGGUACGGUGUGAAAAACUCCGGUGGUAUGAGAUGGACCCGCG